AUUCACGGUGUCUUGGAUGGAGGACGAGAAGGGAAUGGCAAGCUCCUUCAGCUCGUUCUGUCCGGUGAGAAGUGAUCAA
Loxodonta africana (African savanna elephant) is the source of this 79-nucleotide microRNA precursor. The record is from Ensembl. NCBI's taxonomy places the organism in Eukaryota, Metazoa, Chordata, Mammalia, Proboscidea, Elephantidae.